RNAcentral lists this ribosomal RNA (301 nucleotides) under uncultured bacterium. RNAcentral's name for it is "partial 16S ribosomal RNA". It matches the Rfam family "Bacterial small subunit ribosomal RNA", at positions 509 to 807 of the family's 1533-position model. The record is from RNAcentral.
CAGCCGCCGCGGGAAUACAGAGGGUGCGAGCGUUAAUCGGAUUUACUGGGCGUAAAGCGUGCGUAGGCGGCUAAUUGAGUCGGAUGUGAAAUCCCCGAGCUUAACUUGGGAAUUGCAUUCGAUACUGGUUAGCUAGAGUGUGGGAGAGGAUGGUAGAAUUCCAGGUGUAGCGGUGAAAUGCGUAGAGAUCUGGAGGAAUACCGAUGGCGAAGGCAGCCAUCUGGCCUAACACUGACGCUGAGGUACGAAAGCAUGGGGAGCAAACAGGAUUAGAUACCCCAGUAGUCCCUGUCUCUUAUAC